UUUAUCAUCUUACUACAAUGAAUUCCUUUUGAAACAAAACUUGCCGUGCAAACCUACAACGAUUAUGGAAGGUAGCAAAUCACUGACCAAUUCCCAGUCAAGUUUCCUUACAAGAAGAUCUCACACUCAUGGCCAGAUUGGAAAACGCGUUUUCUCGUGAGCCAUGUCCUUUAUCAUCGAACACUUCUUUAUAAAUUCCAACACUCUAAAUCUACCGACAAGAAAACUCACCCUCUUAUUCGCAUGGUUUCGUCGACCACAACCCAUUUACACUCUCUCAUUACCCGCAACAUUCGUACUGCCGAAGGACUCGCAAUACGCUGGAGAAGGAUCUGCAACCCGUCGGAGCACGUCAACGAUUGUUUCGUCAUCGCUUCGGAUAAUCCUCGAUGUUCCAAACUUUUCCCAAUCCCAUUCGUGUGCUAGAAUUUUUGCAAGGAUUCGCUAACGCAAACUUGUGAACAGGUACGAAGAGAAGAUUGGACACAGGAUGGGCUUUAGUUAACAAAAAAACGGAUUAGCUUAGUGUAGUUAUGAACCAUGGCUUGUGCUUGUAAUUGUGUAUUUGAAUUAAUUGUUUCGUGAAACAUUUGUUAUGAAUUA
RNAcentral lists this long non-coding RNA (603 nucleotides) under Helianthus annuus (common sunflower). The record is from RNAcentral. Lineage: Eukaryota; Viridiplantae; Streptophyta; Magnoliopsida; Asterales; Asteraceae.